CUCCAGCAGACCCUCCCUCCCAGACCCUCCUACUUCCUGGACAGCAUCCAUGUUUCAACAUGGAUGCUGUCCAGGAAGUAGGAGGGCCUGGGAGGGAGGGUCUGCUGGAG
Non-coding RNA from Pelobates cultripes (western spadefoot toad), 110 nucleotides. The record is from the annotation of a GenBank genome assembly. NCBI's taxonomy places the organism in Eukaryota, Metazoa, Chordata, Amphibia, Anura, Pelobatidae.